UGUCUUAAGCAUGCAAGUCGAGCGGGCUUAUUCGGGCAACUGGAUAAGUUAGCGGCGAACUGGUGAGUAACACGUAGGUAAUCUGCCGUAGAGUGGGGGAUAACCCAUGGAAACAUGGACUAAUACCGCAUAUACUCUUGACGCUAAAGCGUAGUAGAGGAAAGGAGCAAUCCGCUUUACGAUGAGCCUGCGGCCUAUUAGCCUGUU
RNAcentral lists this ribosomal RNA (207 nucleotides) under uncultured Brachyspira sp. RNAcentral's name for it is "partial 16S ribosomal RNA". It matches the Rfam family "Bacterial small subunit ribosomal RNA", at positions 45 to 250 of the family's 1533-position model. The record is from RNAcentral. Lineage: Bacteria; Pseudomonadati; Spirochaetota; Spirochaetia; Brachyspirales; Brachyspiraceae.